GACGAACGCUGGCGGCGUGCCUAAUACAUGCAAGUAGAACGCUGAAGGAGGAGCUUGCUUCUCUGGAUGAGUUGCGAACGGGUGAGUAACGCGUAGGUAACCUGCCUGGUAGCGGGGGAUAACUCUUGGAAACGAUAGCUAAUACCGCAUAACAGUAGAUAUCGCAUGAUAUCUACUUGAAAGAUGCAAUUGUAUCACUACCAGAUGGACCUGCGUUGUAUUAGCUAGUUGGUGGGGUAACGGCUCACCAAGGCGCCGAUCCAUAGCGGCCUGGAGAGGGGGACCGCCCACAUGGGACUGAGACCCCGCCCCGACCCCCACGGGAGGGAGCAGGAGGGAAUCCUUGGCAAUGGAGGGAAGUCUGACCGAGCAACGCCGCGGGAGGGAAGGAGGGUCUCGGAUCGGAAAGAUCCUUUGUAAGGGAAGAAAGAGUGUGAGAGUGGAAAGUUCACAUUGUGACGGUAUCUGACCAGAAAGGGACGGCUAACUACGUG
This 494-nucleotide ribosomal RNA is filed under the name uncultured bacterium. RNAcentral's name for it is "partial 16S ribosomal RNA". It matches the Rfam family "Bacterial small subunit ribosomal RNA", at positions 28 to 507 of the family's 1533-position model. The record is from RNAcentral.